Molecule: ribosomal RNA, 218 nt
Filed under: uncultured bacterium
Lineage: Bacteria
Description: partial 16S ribosomal RNA
Rfam family: Bacterial small subunit ribosomal RNA
Source: RNAcentral
UGGGAACGUGCCUUUCGGUUCGGGAUAACCCAGGGAAACUUGGGGCUAAUACCGGAUACGCCCUUCGGGGGAAAGAUUCAUUGCCGAAAGAUCGGCCCGCGUCGGAUUAGCUAGUUGGUGGGGUAAUGGCCUACCAAGGCGACGAUCCGUAGCUGGUCUGAGAGGAUGAUCAGCCACACUGGAACUGAGAUACGGCCCAGACUCCGUACGGGAGGCAG